AUUUCAAUCAGGUUGCUGCAUGCAAUAGACUUUUUCAAUAUCACGUCUAUUCGAUUCUGCCCAUGUUUGCACAGCACACUACAGACGUAGGUUUGACUCACACCAAACUGGACAGAUACAGGGAAAAGCUGGUCAGAGGAACCAGAGGGUUCCUGCACAAACAGGCAUCCAGAUAAUAUGAUAAAGACAAAACCUUAAUAAUCACAAAUCCCCCCCCAAAAAAAAUGUAGGAUUACCAUUAAAACAAAAAAACUGUCUGAUAGGUGAAGUACUUUUUUCCCUUUUUUGCAGUGAUUGUUGAUAGAAUUGUGCAAUUUUUUAUACAGUACGUAGUUAGGUCUGAGUAUGCCUAGAACUGUGAUUCGCUUUAACUGUCGUCAGUGUCCGACAUAGAAGUCCUGUGAAAUGUCAUAACUAGUGUAUGCACACGUAUAUAUGUUCUCUUGUACACACACCUACUUGCACACACGUACACACACACACACUCUUGCACCAGUACACACAGAAGUCUCUCACAUGUGUACUCGGACGGCUGUCGAUCUUUUUUUUUUUUUUAAAUGCACAUUAACUGGGUCCGAGGAGACGCAACCAAUGUGAGCUUAGACUGAGAACUGAGUUGAAAUUAUCCUUUUAUUUUUCCACCAUUGAGAAAAAGCGCACGUUUACGUCCCAGAGUGCAACCAAAGAGCUCACGUGUUCGACUUUGUUUAACAGAGACCACCUGACACACGGGAUGAGGAAACUGGACGGUACGUGGGCGCAGCAGAUCGGAUGAGGAAAAAAAAAAAAGAGAGAGAGGCGUUUAGGGGCGAGGAGUCAAACUUAACACUGAAGCUACUGGACACUUGAUAAACUGAGCCCUGCACAUGCUCUCGCUAAAUGGGAAGGGGUAGGGAUGGGUGGGAAGGAGGAGCGUUGCCGGAACAUGCAGAUGUGCAAACUGGGAUUACCACAUUUAUCCAGAUUUUUAUUUUCCUGCAAAGCUUGAAGUAAUGGACCUGCUUAAAAAAAGAAAAAAAAGGUGGACAUAUAGAUAUAUAUUUUUGUUUUUAUCAAAAGGUUAUGGUGCAGUUUAAACAGGAAUGGGCGGGUAGGUGGAUGCAAUGCAUAGAAACUUUAAGUAUUGACUGCUGAAGACGGGGAGGGUAUGCUUUUUUUUUUUUUUUUUGGGAGGCUGGGCCACAUUACACUGGUUUUAGCAGUUUUGUGGACAAUCUGAAUGGGAUCCUGCAUCAUUGCGAGUUAUCGCGUGUUACCCCUUCCCCUUUUCCUUAAUUCCGUGAGUUGUGAUUGGCGCCCCUGCAGUCCCUCUCCUCUCUUUCCAUUUUACUCAGUUAAACUGUGUGUUUGUUUGUUUUUUCACCAAGAAAUCGAAACUAAGCAACAAUACGUUUUUUCUUCUUAACUGAGGCUAACCAUGAGUAAUAAUAAGCAUCCCUAUGAAAGUGAAUUCUGGGUAUUUUUUGUGACAUUUCUUUCCCCACCCAGAAAAAAAAAGGUUUUCUAUGUUUGUUCCUUCUCUAUAAUAGCUAUUUGUUAUGCACUACUCUUUGUAUCUGACCAGUUUUCAACAGUCAGCUGUUCUUUUUGUUAAAAGACAAAAAAAAAGAGAGAUAAAGUGUGCUUUCUGACUGACAAGAUCUUUUGCAAUACCUCAAUUUUGAAAUAUAUUAGGAGAGAAAAAGAUAUUUUCUAAGUAAGUUUAUUCAGAUGAGAAAUAUAUAUUAAUUUAAUUCUUCAAGAGAAAUGAUUUAACAGAUGGUUGAUUUUUCUUUUUUAAAUCUUAUCAUGCUUUUUUUAAAGUUUGCUUUUAUUUUAAGAAUUAAUUAUUUUAUUUUUUUGGAAAAAGACAACAACUGAAGGAGCUAGAGCUUUAUACUAAUAAUAUGUAGUUAGUGAGAGUCUACUUUAUUACAGUGGCAGCGAGGGUGAGCGCCCCACUGGUCGAAACAUCGGAGGGAGGAGAGCUCUUUAAGGAAAUCGAAUAUAAGAAAAAAAGAGGGAAAAAAGAGCAACCCCGAUUCGUUAGCCCGACGAGAAAGACUUGUGAGAGUCACGGCUGGAGGUAGAGUGAAAAGAAUGUUAUUUUUACCACAAAACAGACACAAGUGUUUUCACCUGUAACUUGAUCUGAAGCCCCCAAGGUGCAUCAAUAGACUGGUGGCCUUCUAUUCUAGCAAGACUUGAAUUAGUCCCUUUUUUUUAAAGGCUAACAACCUUGAUUCUUUGUCGUAAUGUGCAAUACUGUUUGUACUGUUUGUAGAAAAGAAGAAAACAAGAAAAAAGAGGCAUAAAUCUUUACUGCAGAAUUAUUUUCAUUGCAAGCAUUGUGAUUCACUAAAAAUCAUUUUCUACUGUGUAUUUACCUACUCUACCUGCUAGUACCUUCCAGUAGUAAUGUAGCCUUUGUACUGAGAAAUUUUCAUUAUUUUUAGAAAGUUUUGCUAAAAAACAAAAGAAGAAUUUAAACAUAUUUGCAUAUUUUCAUUUUUAUUUCAUGUUUUUUCUUUACAGACUUAUUUCUCAACCAUUAAUAGUUAUUUCUGGGGGAGACUUUCAUAUCUGGUCAAUGUCAUUAAUAUUAUUUUGUAUUUUUACUUGGAAUAAAUUAAUUUUUAUUAUGCUAAUUCUUUAAAAGUUUAUUUUUUUUCCCAUUUGUUCACUUUUUCAUUUUUUUGGAAGCUAUGAAAAAACCCCUUUGUAAUAUUGUUACUAAAGUGUCUCGUUUCUUGAAAUGCUAAGCUUUAUGUGUUAUAACUUGCUGAUGUUGCUUACAUUAGUGUGAAAAUGAUCUAAAGAUGAAAAAAAAAAAAAACCUACUCACAAAGAAACAGAUUGGUGGUUGGUGAUGUUUAAGUGAUUCGCAAUGUAAACAGAUGAAUGGGCAAUAAAAUAAAAAUGGCAGAAUGGAGCAUACAUGUAGUAUGUUGUGAUGUAAUUGUGGAAGAUGGGUGACACCACUGACCGUUUACUGCUGUUGCUACUCAGUGCUAUGUUCCAGUAAUUGCUACUCAUUAGCUCACAUACUUUAUUCUACUCAGCAGAUCCUUCUAAAAACACCAGUGACACAUGCUGUACGUGGUUCAGUCCCCACAGAGCACACCGGUGUGACUGUAUUUAAGUAUGAAUGUAAACGUAGCUGCACUGUAUGAUACAUAUAGAAAUUGGAAGGAGCAUGUGUGACCUGUACAAUAUUAAUCAUUUAUAGCAGGCAUGGGCCUAAUGUGGCUGCUCUAUAUAUAUCUGUACUUUCACCCUUUUUCCUGCCUUCAAGGAAAGAACGGUUUGACGUUUGAAUAUUUUAUUUGAGAAAAACUGACUCCUGUCUCUCC
This is a long non-coding RNA of Astatotilapia calliptera (eastern happy), 3332 nucleotides long. The record is from Ensembl. NCBI's taxonomy places the organism in Eukaryota, Metazoa, Chordata, Actinopteri, Cichliformes, Cichlidae.